This 291-nucleotide ribosomal RNA is filed under the name uncultured bacterium. RNAcentral's name for it is "partial 16S ribosomal RNA". It matches the Rfam family "Bacterial small subunit ribosomal RNA", at positions 44 to 334 of the family's 1533-position model. The record is from RNAcentral.
GUGCCUAACACAUGCAAGUCGAACGGGAAAGUGGAGCAAUCCAUGAGUAUAGUGGCGACCGGGUGAGUAACACGUGACUAACCUGCCCUUGAGUGGGGGAUAACCUCGGGAAACCGGGGCUAAUACCGCAUAACAUCUUCAGGAUGAGAAGCUGGGGAUCAAAGGAGCAAUCCGCUUAUGGAGGGGGUCGCGGCUGAUUAGCUAGUUGGCGGGGUAACGGCCCACCAAGGCGAUGAUCGGUAUCCGGCCUGAGAGGGCGCACGGACACACUGGAACUGAAACACGGUCCAG